This 357-nucleotide ribosomal RNA is filed under the name Mystrium voeltzkowi. Its description in RNAcentral is "SSU rRNA". It matches the Rfam family "Eukaryotic small subunit ribosomal RNA", at positions 77 to 402 of the family's 1831-position model. The record is from RNAcentral. Lineage: Eukaryota; Metazoa; Arthropoda; Insecta; Hymenoptera; Formicidae.
UAAGGUGAAACCNCGAAUGGCUCAUUAAAUCAGUUAUGGUUCAUUAGAUUGUACCCACAUUUACUUGGAUAACUGUGGUAAUUCUAGAGCUAAUACAUGCAACACAGAGUCCCGACCAGUGAUGGGAGGGACGCUUUUAUUAGAUCAAAACCAAUCGGUGGCGGGUAGGCUCGCCCAUCCGUCCAUCGUUUAUUUUGGUGACUCUGAAUAACUUUGUGCUGAUCGCACGGUCCUAGCACCGGCGACGCAUCUUUCAAAUGUCUGCCUUAUCAACUGUCGAUGGUAGGUUCUGCGCCUACCAUGGUUGUAACGGGUAACGGGGAAUCAGGGUUCGAUUCCGGAGAGGGAGCCUGAGAA